AUCUCACCUGGUCGACUCGUUCUACUACGCGUGGAAUUGCACGGAGAUGAGAGGACGGCAGCCACUCAGACAUUCCGUUCCUCGUACGAACAGGUUUCCUACCGAUUGCAGAAAAAAACUACUUAGACUCAAAUAAUUGUUGGAAGUAUGCUGAACCACAUGGGAACUCGUCGAUCGCGCUAUGAAAAGACCGAAAGUGAUAGUCCCAAAAGACCGUAUCAAUGUUGAUUAAAAAUCGUCGUUUCCACGCAUGCGUCACUCUUAGCCACUAUCAGUCUUAUUCGCCGAAAAUAUAAAUGGACGAAUAUGAUAUGUAAGAAUGAUUAUUUUUAAAAUACUUUUUAGAUAACUUAGAAUGUACAUUAAAAUAUUAUUUGGUAACCAUAUAAUUAGGUAACAUGUAUUUAUUUGAUGUAUAAAAUUAUAUAUACAUCUUUUGUAAAUACUGCGUGAAAUGGUAUCGAAAAAGAUGGUUAGACGAGAUAUUCGAAUAUCAUGGUAAGAAAUUUCACGAUGUACGCCAAAAUUCCCUAGGGGCACUUGGGUCAACAGGAAGUCAAGGCCACGCGGUCAAUUGCCCCGCGAUCCGUCGCCGUUAUAAAUAGAUACGAGCGGCCGGUAUCUACGCAUCUAUUUGCACGCAUGCUGUAAAAUCCGAAUCGGAGUUAUUCCGACCGAAGUAUAGAUGGUUUUUGCUUUCCCUGAACUUUUUUCCUAGCGCGUCUCAGAAACCUCCCAUUGAUAAAGUGGCACGUAAUGAAUGUAUCGAUCGUUGAAUCCCCUAACGCUCUAACUGUUUAUUCCUAUUAAUACCAGUUUAAUGAAAGGAAUGAGUUUCUUUCAGAUAUCCCUUUAUAAAUACAGCCGUCGCCAUUCUAAAUAAAGGACACAAGAGAAAUGGAGAAUCGUGGGCCUCUGGUUUCUAUAUAAGUUAAUAAAUUGAAUAGUCCCAGAAUAAAAUAAAGCAAGGGUUGAAGACAAGCAAAAGAUCAUCUACUUAUUGUUAAAGAAAUUGAAAGUCUUUCUCUCAAUUUUUAUAUUUUAGUACAUUCACUCUGAAUCACUGAUUAUAUGUAACUAGGAAAAACUUGCAAAAUAUGAAAUACAAGAGUAAUCUAUAGUUUCUUAGACUUUUGACAUUAUUAAAGAAAUAACUCACAGUUAAUUUGUCAUUUAAUGCUCUUCUGAAUUCCGCCCCUGUUAUCUUUGCUUUAUAAUACGUGUUUCCGAGAAAUGCAUCGCAUGAUUUCCUCUAUAAUUUACAAACAAGUGAGUUCUUUCGAAAAAAAGGCAGCAUAAUUAUCCGACAUUCAGAAUGUUAUGUUCUGCUAGUAUGUAUUAACACACAAAGAUACGUUGUUGUAAUGAAAUGUCAGAUAUUAUCACAAUACAGAGAGAUCGUGCAGAAGGAAACAGUUCCUAUGAAACAAGAAGAGUACUUAUUGAUCCGGUAGGUAGUGGAUGUAGCGAGCAUGGCUUAUAAAUGCCAUCCGCUACGAAAACUACAUAUAACCGAUGCCAAUACUCUCUUUGACGUGGAAUUAUUAUGCAAGUUAAUUCUUUACGAGAAGGGUCGUCAAAUAAUUCAAUGAAAUAAAUCAAUUAACGAUACGGUCUAUUUUAUAUUCUUAGACGUCGGAAAACGCAAAAGUUGAUAGCAGGAUGAAUUACCUAGAACCAAUGAUUUGGUAUAAUCCUUUGAAAUUCUUAAAUGUAAUACGUACAUAUAUUAAUGGAGUACCUUAAUAUUAAA
Molecule: long non-coding RNA, 1753 nt
Organism: Bombus pascuorum
Lineage: Eukaryota; Metazoa; Arthropoda; Insecta; Hymenoptera; Apidae
Exons: 2
Source: RefSeq, a predicted model, not a curated record